Molecule: long non-coding RNA, 336 nt
Organism: Rhipicephalus sanguineus (brown dog tick)
Lineage: Eukaryota; Metazoa; Arthropoda; Arachnida; Ixodida; Ixodidae
Exons: 4
Source: RefSeq, a predicted model, not a curated record
AGAUCAAAAAUGGACAGCACGUAUCUGGUUGGGAAGAACAGGUAACAGAGAUCAAGUAUCACGUGGGGUGGAACAUGGACAAAGCUGCCGUCUCUUCUGAAAUUCCCGACAAAAAGCAGCCUCGGCUAGGUUUAUUCGGAAUUUUUCUAGUCAAACAUGCCACCAACACUUGUUUCGUGUUGUGUAGAAAGGUAAAUAAAGGAGACAAAGCCCAGUGUGCAUUAUGGGUGCUGCCGGAAGUAUUAAAACAAGAUAUGAAUGAGUGCUAUAUGCCAUUUAUUUCAGAAUGUAUCAGAGAAGGUGCACGUGUGUAUGUGUACAAUAAAAGUGAAUGCA